UCGAGCGGUAGCACANAGAGCUUGCUCUCGGGUGACGAGCGGCGGACGGGUGAGUAAUGUCUGGGAAACUGCCUGAUGGAGGGGGAUAACUACUGGAAACGGUAGCUAAUACCGCAUAACGUCGCAAGACCAAAGUGGGGGACCUUCGGGCCUCAUGCCAUCAAAUGUGCCCAGAUAGGAUUAGCUGGUAUGUGGGGUAACGGCUCACCUACGCGACGAUCCCUAACUGGUCUGAGAGGAUGACCAGCCACACUGGAACUNAUACACGGUCCAU
Molecule: ribosomal RNA, 274 nt
Filed under: Klebsiella sp. PN2
Lineage: Bacteria; Pseudomonadati; Pseudomonadota; Gammaproteobacteria; Enterobacterales; Enterobacteriaceae
Description: partial 16S rRNA
Rfam family: Bacterial small subunit ribosomal RNA
Source: RNAcentral